RNAcentral lists this small RNA (967 nucleotides) under Pongo abelii (Sumatran orangutan). RNAcentral describes it as "retained intron". The record is from RNAcentral. Lineage: Eukaryota; Metazoa; Chordata; Mammalia; Primates; Hominidae.
AUGAAGUUACAGUCUGUUUCCCUUUGGCUCCUGGGUACAAUACUGAUAUUGUGCUCAGUAGACAACCAUGGUCUCAGGAGAUGUCUGAUUUCCACAGACAUGCACCAUACAGAAGAGAGUUUCCAAGAAAUCAAAAGAGCCAUUCAAGCUAAGGACACCUUCCCAAAUGUCACUAUCCUGUCCACAUUGGAGACUCUGCAGAUCAUUAAGCCCUUAGAUGUGUGCUGCGUGACCAGGAACCUCCUGGCGUUCUACGUGGACAGGGUGUUCAAGGAUCAUCAGGAGCCAAACCCCAAAAUCUUGAGAAAAAUCAGCAGCAUUGCCAACUCUUUCCUCUACAUGCAGAAAACUCUGCGGCAAUGUGUGAGUCACUGGGUCAGGAUUCCAGCAUCUGCUCCCCGUCUGCCCCAGGAGAGGCCAGGAAGUGCUGGCCCCCAUCGGCCUCCUGAUAUGGUGCUUGGAGUCAAAGGAAAUUCUCUGCGCACGUCCACGGGGAGAACUGUUGAGAACCUCUCCCAGUGGUCACUGCUUCCCCAGGGCUCCCUGCCCUCUGACAACUCCUCAGAUGGUCUCCUCCUAGAUAACCCUCCUGGGGUGACCAACUUAUGUCAACAUAUUCCUUAGUAAGAGGCAUGGCAAAGACUCCAGUUCUACUAUAAGCAUACCCCUGGUUUCUUUAUUUUUGGCCCUUUGGUGUCUUUACAUCAAUAAACCUCUGGGUAGUUCCUUGGUAUGGCCUAUCCCUAAGGGUUGCCUAGAAAUUCAUUGCGAUCUAUUCAAAUCCAACAUCAGAAGCAAAACCAACAGAAACCAACAAAAACUUAGACCAGGAGAGAACCUGGGCUCUAGCCCCAUUCCUGUGAGACUUUGUGGCAAGUGAUUUCACCUUUCUGUGCCUCAGAUUCUAAAAUUGUUAGAAGAGUUGAGGGCCCCUGUCCUACUUGCAUUAAUAUGAUAAUGAUAAUGG